GGAUGUGAGGGCGAUCUGGCUGCGACAUCUGUCACCCCAUUGAUCGCCAGGGUUGAUUUGGCUGAUCUGGCUGGCUAGGCGGGUGUCCCCUUCCUCCCUCACCGCUCCAUGUGCGUCCCUCCCGAAGCUGCGCGCUCGGUCGAAGAGGACGGCCUUCCCCGAAUAGAGACGGACCGGUCUUCGGUCGAGGGUAUACGAGUAGCUGCGCUCCCCUGCUAGAACCUCCAAACAAGCUCUCAAGGUCCAUUUGACUUAUUACUUUCUGUCUGGUUAGGAUAAUCAAACAUUCAGCAAAGAAGGAUAAAAGCACAGUAGGUGGUAU
RNAcentral lists this small nuclear RNA (322 nucleotides) under Sorex araneus (European shrew). RNAcentral describes it as "7SK RNA (ENSSARG00000014678.1)". It matches the Rfam family "7SK RNA". Rfam says of the family: 7SK was discovered as an abundant small nuclear RNA in the mid-70s but a possible function has only recently been suggested. Two independent studies have found that 7SK RNA binds the CDK9/cyclin T complex (known as elongation factor P-TEFb). The record is from RNAcentral. Lineage: Eukaryota; Metazoa; Chordata; Mammalia; Eulipotyphla; Soricidae.